This 919-nucleotide ribosomal RNA is filed under the name Escherichia coli. Its description in RNAcentral is "partial 23S ribosomal RNA". It matches the Rfam family "Bacterial large subunit ribosomal RNA", at positions 1 to 962 of the family's 2925-position model. The record is from RNAcentral. Lineage: Bacteria; Pseudomonadati; Pseudomonadota; Gammaproteobacteria; Enterobacterales; Enterobacteriaceae.
GUUAAGCGACUAAGCGUACACGGUGGAUGCCCUGGCAGUCAGAGGCGAUGAAGGACGUGCUAAUCUGCGAUAAGCGUCGGUAAGGUGAUAUGAACCGUUAUAACCGGCGAUUUCCGAAUGGGGAAACCCAGUGUGAUUCGUCACACUAUCAUUAACUGAAUCCAUAGGUUAAUGAGGCGAACCGGGGGAACUGAAACAUCUAAGUACCCCGAGGAAAAGAAAUCAACCGAGAUUCCCCCAGUAGCGGCGAGCGAACGGGGAGCAGCCCAGAGCCUGAAUCAGUGUGUGUGUUAGUGGAAGCGUCUGGAAAGGCGCGCGAUACAGGGUGACAGCCCCGUACACAAAAAUGCACAUGCUGUGAGCUCGAUGAGUAGGGCGGGACACGUGGUAUCCUGUCUGAAUAUGGGGGGACCAUCCUCCAAGGCUAAAUACUCCUGACUGACCGAUAGUGAACCAGUACCGUGAGGGAAAGGCGAAAAGAACCCCGGCGAGGGGAGUGAAAAAGAACCUGAAACCGUGUACGUACAAGCAGUGGGAGCACGCUUAGGCGUGUGACUGCGUACCUUUUGUAUAAUGGGUCAGCGACUUAUAUUCUGUAGCAAGGUUAACCGAAUAGGGGAGCCGAAGGGAAACCGAGUCUUAACUGGGCGUUAAGUUGCAGGGUAUAGACCCGAAACCCGGUGAUCUAGCCAUGGGCAGGUUGAAGGUUGGGUAACACUAACUGGAGGACCGAACCGACUAAUGUUGAAAAAUUAGCGGAUGACUUGUGGCUGGGGGUGAAAGGCCAAUCAAACCGGGAGAUAGCUGGUUCUCCCCGAAAGCUAUUUAGGUAGCGCCUCGUGAAUUCAUCUCCGGGGGUAGAGCACUGUUUCGGCAAGGGGGUCAUCCCGACUUACCAACCCGAUGCAAACUGCGAAUA